UAUGAUUUUUCUUUGUGUUUUCUUCAUGAAUUAUUAAUGAGUUUUUUAAGAAGAAUGUUACAAGGCAAGCCCGUAGCUGGCUCUCGAUUUCUGGGGGGGGCACUGCCGAAAGAAUAUAACAGACGGUUUGAGAUGAGAAAAAUUUUUUUCUGGAAUUUAUUUUGGCGAACUGCCCCCCCCCCACCCGUCGCCAAAAAAAUUUCGGUCAGCGUACCAUUUUAGGGGUCAAAAAUGUUUUCCGGACAGACCAAAUUUUUACAAAAUUUUUCGAAUAUGUCCCAUGAUUACAAUUGCUUUCCAGGUCCUUUAUCUCAAUUUUUCAUACAAAAUUUCGGAGUGGGGGGGGCUGGGGGGCGCUGCGCCAAUGUAAGCGUAACAUUAGACGUCACAUGAAAAAACUUUAGAAAUUCGAUAAAAAUUCGAUGGUGGGUCCUCGCGCGCUCACUUUUCCCUCACUAGAAACUUCGUGUAUUAGCCAACAUUAGGAAUCUAGGGGCCCCAUCUAGCGUAUAUUUUAUAUAAGUGUACUUGUAGGCGAAACGCCAGAAAUUUUUUUUGCAGGGCACCGCAUUUUAGUACUGUGUCUGGUUAUACUAG
Molecule: non-coding RNA, 597 nt
Organism: Paramuricea clavata
Lineage: Eukaryota; Metazoa; Cnidaria; Anthozoa; Malacalcyonacea; Plexauridae
Source: the annotation of a GenBank genome assembly